Eriocheir sinensis (Chinese mitten crab) is the source of this 2176-nucleotide long non-coding RNA. RefSeq lists it as uncharacterized. Lineage: Eukaryota; Metazoa; Arthropoda; Malacostraca; Decapoda; Varunidae. The record is from RefSeq and is a predicted model, not a curated record. The transcript has 3 exons.
ACACACACACACACACACACACACACACUUCACAGCACUCUGUCCCAUAAUACAGGCCAGUCAGCAGACCAUUAGUCCUCGCAGGAAUCCCACGGAGUCGCAGAAGAUACCAGAGUGCCUCGCGAUGCACUGAGUCAAACGCCUUCUUGAGAUGGACAUAAGCUGCAAGCAUCCCCUGUCCAAACUCACAUUGGUGCUCCACCAGUACGCUAGGAUACGGUCAGUUGUUGACUUAGCAGGCGUGAACCCACACUGUUCAGGUCUCUGCAGCUUCAGCAGCUGGCUGCGAAUGCACCAGCAACAGGUGGGCAAGCCCCUUGCCUGGCACACUGAGCGGUGUAAUACCACGGUAGUUGUUGCAGUCCACCAACAGUUUGGCCCACAGUAACUCCCUACAUAUUCAUUAUUCAAAGGAACAAAAAAACAAGUCAGUGCAACAUGGUCUGGAGCAAGGGAAGGAGAAAUGGCAAGCUGCAUUUAUGCUGAGCAAAUUUAGCCCCAAAAAGUUACAAAUAUGGAAGUGUACAUGUUUAUGGCUGUUUUAAUUGAUAUUAUAUGCAGCACACCAUGGAUUGCUUCCCUCACCCCAUACUUUUUUGUGUGUGUUAUACCUGUUGUUGUUGUUGACUCUAAGAGAGUGACUUGCUAGGAAUUAUAGAUGCCAGGGCCGACAGAACCAGGGUGGGAGGUGAAAUUAUAAGUUUUUUAUAACCUUUGCUGGGCGGGAUGGAGCACACUAACACCAGACAGAGAACCAGGUGGAGAGGUGGAGUUAUAACCUUUGCCAGGGCAGGAUGGAGCACACUUAACACCAGACAGAGAACCAGGUGGAGAGGUGGAGUUAUAACCUUUGUCGGGGUAGGAUGGAGCACACUAACGCCAGACAGAGAACCAGGUGGACAGAUGGAAUUAUAACCUUUUGGCAGGGCAGGAUGGAGCACACUAACGCCAGACAGAGAACCAGGUGGACAGAUGGAAUUAUAACCUUUGCCAGGGCAGGAUGGAGCACACUAACACCAGACAGAGAACCAGGUGGACAGAUGGAAUUAUAACCUUUGCCAGGGCGGGAUGGAGCACACUAACACCAGACAGAGAGCUAGGCGGAGAGUUGGAAUCAGAGCAUUAGCCUGAACAAGGAGGAAUAUACUAACAUGACAGGAGAGUUAGAGCAUCCAAGGAAAGGCCAUAAUCCUGUAGUGGACUGUUGAUGGUUAACCUGUCCACUGCAACUGUCAGGGAUUUGUCCUUCUCUGGUAGCCUGGUAAAAUAUAGUCCCAGGUUUCCUCUGCCUCUAUGGUGGAUAGUGGAGUGUUUCCCAUGUGGUAUUGGUGUGCUGGAUAUUCCUUCACUGGUAGCCUGGUAACAUAUAGUCCCAGGUUUCCUCUGCCUCUAUGGUGGAUAGUGGAGUGUUUCCCAUGUGGUAAUGGUGUGCUGGAUAUCCCUUCACUGGUAGCCUGGUAACAUAUAGUCCCAGGUUUCCUCUGCCUCUAUGGUGGAUAGUGGAGUGUUUCCCAUGUGGUAAUGGUGUGCUGGAUAUCCCUUCACUGGUAGCCUGGUAACAUAUACUCCCAGGUCUUUCUCUGCCUCUGUGGUGGAUAGUGGAGUGUUUCCCAUGUGGUAUUGGUGUGCUGGAUAUCCCUUCACUGGUAGCCUGGUAACAUACACUCCCAAGGCUUUCUCUGCCUCUGUGGUGGAUAGUGGAGUGUUUGCCAUGUGGUAUUGGUGUGCUGAAUAUCCCCUCCAAAGGUGCAGGACUUAACAUUUUUAUUCAUUUAAUUAUAGCAGACACUUUGUUCCAUUCCUGUAGCUUGGUGAGGUCAAGGGUUAAACAUAGUAAUGUAAUGCCAUUUUCUUGCAUGGGAUGUGUAUUAGUACUGUGUGACCCUGAUGUGAAAUUUGUCGUUUGAGAGGAAUGAAAGGUUGUCAUGUUUGGUUGUUGUUCAGCAGUACAGUGAUCAGCAGGAUCCUCCAGCAGACCAAGCACUGGGGUUUGGGAGUGUAUUUUUUCUUUUUUCCAAUUCUUUGCCGAUCGAAGGGCUUCCUCAGUAGUUAUUUAGCAAGAUUGAAUUAGUUUCCAUUCUUGUUUCCAGUAUAGUCAUGGAAACAUAAAGAGGUAAGCUUGUGGUUGUUGCAGCAUAUUUUUCUUCUUUCUACAAACACUGUUUUCAACUUUCUU